UUUAAAUCGCGAGGGUUCUAGGAAAUGGUUACAUUUAGAACAAUUUCAUUGUUAAGAUAUCUAAAACAAAAAGUAAAAAUAUUUUACUAAAUUAUAACUACUUAAAUAAAAAAAAUUUGGUCUAAUACUUAAUUAAAUUUUAAUCUAAAAAAAAUACAAAACACUUAAUAAUAAGCACCUAUCUGGAAUAGUUUUGAAUUAUUAAAAAGUUUUAUUUUUUAAAUGAAAUCUCUCAUUUUUUUUACAUAUUUAUAUUUUAUUUCAUUAUUUUAUUGGUGAAAUAUCUAUUGGAGUUUUACCAAUUGACAUGCUCUUAUAAGCAUUAAGCCAACG
This 333-nucleotide long non-coding RNA is filed under the name Brassica rapa (field mustard). RNAcentral describes it as "long non-coding RNA (BRAP_LNC002011)". The record is from RNAcentral. Lineage: Eukaryota; Viridiplantae; Streptophyta; Magnoliopsida; Brassicales; Brassicaceae.